GGGGCUGACUGGUUUUGACAGCGUGUAGAGGUGGUGUGUAAGCGUGCAGAGCAAUGGUGGUCAGCCUCUUUAAUCCUGACAUCGAACAAUUUAACUGGCGAAAACAACUUCGCUCUCGCUGCUUGAUUGAAGUACAGUAGAUCAGCUUAAUCCCCGCGACAGUCGCAGGGACGAGACAUCGCCCGACAGCCCCUGUCCCCUGGCUUGUCGAUCAGGCGGUGUAAGAUUUGGGGAAUAGGACAGCCGCAGCCUCGGGCGGUCGUCCGAAAUUUCAGAGGAUAAGGUCACAGUUGGUCGUCUUCGGCCUGCCGCGACACGAAAACCAACCGAAGAAUACGCACGUAGAAAGCACAUUAGUUCCGCGUUUGGACGAGGGUUCAAGUCCCUCCAGCUCCACU
RNAcentral lists this transfer-messenger RNA (398 nucleotides) under human gut metagenome. It matches the Rfam family "transfer-messenger RNA". Rfam says of the family: Bacterial tmRNA, also known as 10Sa RNA or SsrA, is named for its dual tRNA and mRNA-like properties. Its role is to liberate the mRNA from a stalled ribosome. To accomplish this part of the tmRNA is used as a reading frame that ends in a translation stop signal. The record is from RNAcentral.